RNAcentral lists this ribosomal RNA (482 nucleotides) under uncultured bacterium. RNAcentral's name for it is "bacterial SSU rRNA". It matches the Rfam family "Bacterial small subunit ribosomal RNA", at positions 29 to 506 of the family's 1533-position model. The record is from RNAcentral.
UUGAACGCUGGCGGAAUGCUUUACACAUGCAAGUCGAGCGGCAGCGCGGGGGCAACCCUGGCGGCGAGCGGCGAACGGGUGAGUAAUACAUCGGAACGUACCCAGUUGUGGGGGAUAGCCCGGCGAAAGCCGGAUUAAUACCGCAUAAGUCCUGAGGGAGAAAGCGGGGGACCGUAAGGCCUCGCGCGAUUGGAGCGGCCGAUGUUCGAUUAGCUAGUUGGUGGGGUAAAGGCCUACCAAGGCGACGAUCGAUAGCUGGUCUGAGAGGACGACCAGCCACACUGGAACUGAGACACGGUCCAGACUCCUACGGGAGGCAGCAGUGGGGAAUUUUGGACAAUGGGGGCAACCCUGAUCCAGCCAUUCCGCGUGAGUGAAGAAGGCCUUCGGGUUGUAAAGCUCUUUCAGCCGGAAAGAAAUUGCUUCUAUUAAUACUAGGAGUAGAUGACGGUACCGGAAGAAGAAGCACCGGCUAACUACGU